Molecule: unclassified non-coding RNA, 2438 nt
Filed under: Hevea brasiliensis (rubber tree)
Lineage: Eukaryota; Viridiplantae; Streptophyta; Magnoliopsida; Malpighiales; Euphorbiaceae
Source: RNAcentral
AAGGACAGGCUCUUGCAUAUUUGCUGAAAAAAUUUGAAGCUAAUGGAAAAGUGCCUAUCAAUACUCUUGUGUGUGGUGACUCUGGUAAUGAUGCUGAACUCUUCAGCAUUCCUGAAGUAUAUGGUGUGAUGGUUUGUAUCUUCUUAAGCUUUUAUUAUUUGCAAUCUGCGAUAUGCUCAUAAGUUUAAUGGUUCUCUUGUCUAGUCACUUAUAUUUUGAAUAUGUAGGUUAGCAAUGCCCAGGAAGAAUUAUUGCAGUGGCAUGUGGAGAAUGCAAAGAGUAAUUCUAACAUAAUUCACGCAACAGAGAGAUGUGCAUCUGGGAUCAUACAAGCCAUUGGAAGCUUUAGGCUUGGUCCAAAUGUUUCUCCAAGAGACAUUAAAGACUUCCAAAAGUGCAGAGCAGAAAUUUUUGGUCCCAGUCAUGAAGUUCUGAAGUUUUAUUUGUUUUAUGAAAGAUGGCGACGUGCAGAAGUUGAGAAAUCCAUAGAAUAUAUGAAAAGUUUAAAAUUAGUACUUGUAAGUAUGAUUUGGAUCCUGUUUCUUCAAGAGUAGAAUUCAAAUAACAUUUACAUUUCUCUAGGCAUUCUGUUAGAUUCAGAAAUUUAACCUGUGACAGGACAUGUUUUCUGAGUUCAAGCCGUGAAAGAGUUGUUGGAACCAAAUAAUAAUAAUUGUGGAAAAAAGGAGAGAACUGAUAGUUUUCUGUUAACAAAAUGCAUAUUCUCGUUUGAGAAGAAUUGCAGGACACUUUUUGUGUGGCUGAUAACAAAUGGUUGGGCAAUGGUUUGUGAACUUGAUCUCAAGUCUCCAAUGGUGUAAUCAAUUUAUGCCUCUUUAUUCCUUGCUGAUUAAUGGUGAAGAUAUUCUUAUUAUUAGAAUUAUGGUUUGCUACUUGUUCCUGGUUAUACAUAAAUUAAAAAUUGAAUGAGCUUCUCAUGAAUUACCUAUUUUUUUCGCUCAUUGAACUGUGGAGGGCUUAAAUUUUUGUAAAGUUUGAUAGUUCAUCCAUUUUCUGCUUUUACCUUUUCUUUAUAAGGUUUUUUCCUUCCUGUACAAGUUGCCAUUGCAAUUUUUUCUAGCCAAGGACUGAUACAUGGCUAAGUGCUCCCCUCCCCUUUUCUGUUUUCUCAGUUUCCAUUGGGCACUUUUGUCCAUCCCUCAGGAGUUGAGCAACCUGUUGACCAUUGCAUAGAAGCAAUGACAAGGUUGUAUGGGGAUAAGCAAGGAAAGCAAUAUCAGGUUUGGUUGGAUCAGGUGUCUUCAGCGCAAGUUGGUUCAGACACAUGGCUUGUGAAGUUCUAUAAGUGGGAGUUAUCAGGGGAGGAGAGGCAUUGCUGUUUGACCAGAGUCUUGCUGAGCUCUAAGGUAUCAAUGCUUUCCAUUUGCAACUGUCACUUCCCUUCUUGAUCUACACAGGUUGGUGGUUUCAUGAUAGAUACUUUCAUUGUGAUUGGAACCAAAUAAAUAUAAAAUUCAUUUCAAUUGCAAAUGAAUUUCUUAGAAAAUUUGUUCUAAUAAUUGAUAUCUUACAUAUUAAUACAUAAAUUUUAUUUUAAGUUAUGAAACUAUUAUGAAAACUUUCAAAACUACAAAUCUUAAGAAUUCAUUUGGAAAUUGUAUUAAUUUGGUUCAAACAUAACCAAUUAAGCAGAAUUAAAAACAUAAAAUUCCAAAAUGAAUUGCUCACAAUUCCAAUAUGUUAAAUAUGUACUUGAAAAGCAAAUAAGCUCUUUACGUAUUAUUUAUUGUGGGUUUGGGCAGUCUGAGGUGCCAGAUGGUUUCACAUGGAUGCACAUGCAUCAGACUUGGUUGGAUGGUUCAGCACCGGAAGAGCUAACAACUUGGUUAUUCUAGGUUUCAAAUCAGUUCAGAAUUUAUUUGUUUUGACCCAAAUAUUGGUGUUUAUUUCCUGGCUAGGCAGCUGGAAACAAUCAAUUGAUUGGCUGAUUUUGCUGCCAAAUUUCUCGGCAAUGUAGCAAUGUCGGUACAUCAAGAAUGGAUUGCAACACUUGAAUACUGAGUACAGGAACUAGAGACCACCAAGGCUAGGUCAUUGAUGGGCGUGCAUUAAAUGAACUAUAGCCCAGCAAAAGUGGGAGAAGCAAGUGUCAUUCGCAAAGCUUGCCUUGUAGCCCAGCAGGUAAGUUUAGUCGUCUUUGCAACAUCUUCUGCUAUUGUAGCAGCAGCAAUCCAAGCUCAAGAAGCUAGAUCAUUGAUUCAGAAGCUAUAUUUUAGAAGAGAAAAGAUAGCUGUUAGCUUUUUGUAGAGAAGCUACUAUAGGUCGUGCAAGUAGGAUAGCGAAUAAAGCUGCAGAAUAGCUGGCAAAGAGCUGUUCUAACUUUUUUGUUCCCAUAUUGCUGUUCUUUAUGUCCCGCAAAGGAUGUUGAAGAAUAUUUUGUAUUCUGAUACUGCUAUGCUGCCUUGUGAUGCAAUGCA